Molecule: long non-coding RNA, 851 nt
Organism: Vidua chalybeata
Lineage: Eukaryota; Metazoa; Chordata; Aves; Passeriformes; Viduidae
Exons: 2
Source: RefSeq, a predicted model, not a curated record
AAUGACAGGGAAAGUUGUCCCAGCAGGAAAAUUGACGCAGAGGCAUCGCCCCGCUGUUGUGGGGUCUCUGUCUGGAACAGCGCGUCCUGACCGCCUGUCCUGCUGCGGGACAAGCAGCUCUGCUAAAGGCUGCGCUAGUUCUGUUUCAAAGGGGUUUUGUUUUGUUUUGUUUUGUUUUUCUUUUUUUUGUUUGUUUGUUUUGCUUGUUGAUCACCUAGGACUGUUCCUAAAUUCCUAGAUUUAUACCAGUGGGUUGCAGGAUUUUUUCCUACUGGUGGAUUUUCAAUCGUAGAAUAUUCUGCAUUGGAAGGGACCCAUAAGAAUCAUCGAGUUCAGCUCCUGGCCCCGCACGGGACAACUCUGAGAAUUCCACUAUGUGCCUGAGAGUGUUGUCCAAACCUUUGCUAAUGUCCAAACCUUUGGAUGGUCCAGGUGUGGAAGGAAUGGGUGAGAAUGCAAAGGAGAACUAUUUCUUCAGCCAGGGCUGACUCCCUCCCUUGCUCAACAGCAUCACCUGUGUGAUUGACUUCCCCAGCUGAGACUAGCAAGAAUUAAUGAUGCCUGUUGAUACUCCUCAGGGUGCUACCAUCUUCUGCUCCCUCAGCACAGCUUCUGGUUGCAAUAAAUCAGAGGAACUGUUCAGAAUCUGAGGGUUUGUCAGCUAAAAACUGGGCUCAGUAAUGCACCUGGUUAAAUAACCGUCUGGGUAGUUCUUGAGGGGUUUUUGAAAGUAUUGUGCUGAAUAAAUGUAGUGUUUAACUGCUGCUAAGUUUAAAAUAUUUUUUAAAAUUUAUUUUCUGAUGUACUCCACCUGAAUUUCUCAUCAUUAAUAUUACAAAUGUGCUUGUUGA